GAUUAAGUUAUUAAGGGCGCACGGUGGAUGCCUUGGCACUAGAAGCCGAUGAAGGACGUUACUAACGACGAUAUGCUUUGGGGAGCUGUAAGUAAGCUUUGAUCCAGAGAUUUCCGAAUGGGGAAACCCAGCAUGAGUUAUGUCAUGUUAUCGAUAUGUGAAUACAUAGCAUAUCAGAAGGCACACCCGGAGAACUGAAACAUCUUAGUACCCGGAGGAAGAGAAAGAAAAUUCGAUUCCCUUAGUAGCGGCGAGCGAAAUGGGAAGAGCCCAAACCAACAAGCUUGCUUGUUGGGGUUGUAGGACACUCUAUACGGAGUUACAAAGGACGACAUUAGACGAAUCAUCUGGAAAGAUGAAUCAAAGAAGGUAAUAAUCCUGUAGUCGAAAAUGUUGUCUCUCUUGAGUGGAUCCUGAGUACGACGGAGCACGUGAAAUUCCGUCGGAAUCUGGGAGGACCAUCUCCUAAGGCUAAAUACUCUCUAGUGACCGAUAGUGAACCAGUACCGUGAGGGAAAGGUGAAAAGCACCCGGAAGGGGAGUGAAAUAGAACCUGAAACCGUGUGCUUACAAGUAGUCAGAGCCCGUUAAUGGGUGAUGGCGUGCCUUUUGUAGAAUGAACCGGCGAGUUACGAUUUGAUGCAAGGUUAAGCAGUAAAUGUGGAGCCGUAGCGAAAGCGAGUCUGAAUAGGGCGUUUAGUAUUUGGUCGUAGACCCGAAACCAGGUGAUCUACCCUUGGUCAGGUUGAAGUUCAGGUAACACUGAAUGGAGGACCGAACCGACUUACGUUGAAAAGUGAGCGGAUGAACUGAGGGUAGCGGAGAAAUUCCAAUCGAACCUGGAGAUAGCUGGUUCUCUCCGAAAUAGCUUUAGGGCUAGCCUCAAGUGAUGAUUAUUGGAGGUAGAGCACUGUUUGGACGAGGGGCCCCUCUCGGGUUACCGAAUUCAGACAAACUCCGAAUGCCAAUUAAUUUAACUUGGGAGUCAGAACAUGGGUGAUAAGGUCCGUGUUCGAAAGGGAAACAGCCCAGACCACCAGCUAAGGUCCCAAAAUAUAUGUUAAGUGGAAAAGGAUGUGGCGUUGCCCAGACAACUAGGAUGUUGGCUUAGAAGCAGCCAUCAUUUAAAGAGUGCGUAAUAGCUCACUAGUCGAGUGACACUGCGCCGAAAAUGUACCGGGGCUAAACAUAUUACCGAAGCUGUGGAUUGUCCUUUGGACAAUGGUAGGAGAGCGUUCUAAGGGCGUUGAAGCAUGAUCGUAAGGACAUGUGGAGCGCUUAGAAGUGAGAAUGCCGGUGUGAGUAGCGAAAGACGGGUGAGAAUCCCGUCCACCGAUUGACUAAGGUUUCCAGAGGAAGGCUCGUCCGCUCUGGGUUAGUCGGGUCCUAAGCUGAGGCCGACAGGCGUAGGCGAUGGAUAACAGGUUGAUAUUCCUGUACCACCUAUAAUCGUUUUAAUCGAUGGGGGGACGCAGUAGGAUAGGCGAAGCGUGCGAUUGGAUUGCACGUCUAAGCAGUAAGGCUGAGUAUUAGGCAAAUCCGGUACUCGUUAAGGCUGAGCUGUGAUGGGGAGAAGACAUUGUGUCUUCGAGUCGUUGAUUUCACACUGCCGAGAAAAGCCUCUAGAUAGAAAAUAGGUGCCCGUACCGCAAACCGACACAGGUAGUCAAGAUGAGAAUUCUAAGGUGAGCGAGCGAACUCUCGUUAAGGAACUCGGCAAAAUGACCCCGUAACUUCGGGAGAAGGGGUGCUCUUUAGGGUUAACGCCCAGAAGAGCCGCAGUGAAUAGGCCCAAGCGACUGUUUAUCAAAAACACAGGUCUCUGCUAAACCGUAAGGUGAUGUAUAGGGGCUGACGCCUGCCCGGUGCUGGAAGGUUAAGAGGAGUGGUUAGCUUCUGCGAAGCUACGAAUCGAAGCCCCAGUAAACGGCGGCCGUAACUAUAACGGUCCUAAGGUAGCGAAAUUCCUUGUCGGGUAAGUUCCGACCCGCACGAAAGGCGUAACGAUUUGGGCACUGUCUCAACGAGAGACUCGGUGAAAUCAUAGUACCUGUGAAGAUGCAGGUUACCCGCGACAGGACGGAAAGACCCCGUGGAGCUUUACUGUAGCCUGAUAUUGAAAUUCGGCACAGCUUGUACAGGAUAGGUAGGAGCCUUUGAAACGUGAGCGCUAGCUUACGUGGAGGCGCUGGUGGGAUACUACCCUAGCUGUGUUGGCUUUCUAACCCGCACCACUUAUCGUGGUGGGAGACAGUGUCAGGCGGGCAGUUUGACUGGGGCGGUCGCCUCCUAAAAGGUAACGGAGGCGCUCAAAGGUUCCCUCAGAAUGGUUGGAAAUCAUUCAUAGAGUGUAAAGGCAUAAGGGAGCUUGACUGCGAGACCUACAAGUCGAGCAGGGUCGAAAGACGGACUUAGUGAUCCGGUGGUUCCGCAUGGAAGGGCCAUCGCUCAACGGAUAAAAGCUACCCCGGGGAUAACAGGCUUAUCUCCCCCAAGAGUUCACAUCGACGGGGAGGUUUGGCACCUCGAUGUCGGCUCAUCGCAUCCUGGGGCUGUAGUCGGUCCCAAGGGUUGGGCUGUUCGCCCAUUAAAGCGGUACGCGAGCUGGGUUCAGAACGUCGUGAGACAGUUCGGUCCCUAUCCGUCGUGGGCGUAGGAAAUUUGAGAGGAGCUGUCCUUAGUACGAGAGGACCGGGAUGGACAUACCUCUGGUGUACCAGUUGUCGUGCCAACGGCAUAGCUGGGUAGCUAUGUGUGGACGGGAUAAGUGCUGAAAGCAUCUAAGCAUGAAGCCCCCCUCAAGAUGAGAUUUCCCAACUUCGGUUAUAAGAUCCCUCAAAGAUGAUGAGGUUAAUAGGUUCGAGGUGGAAGCAUGGUGACAUGUGGAGCUGACGAAUACUAAUCGAUCGAAGACUUAAUCAA
This 2922-nucleotide ribosomal RNA is filed under the name Staphylococcus aureus. RNAcentral describes it as "23S ribosomal RNA". It matches the Rfam family "Bacterial large subunit ribosomal RNA". The record is from RNAcentral. Lineage: Bacteria; Bacillati; Bacillota; Bacilli; Caryophanales; Staphylococcaceae.